Long non-coding RNA from Austrofundulus limnaeus, 242 nucleotides. RefSeq lists it as uncharacterized. NCBI's taxonomy places the organism in Eukaryota, Metazoa, Chordata, Actinopteri, Cyprinodontiformes, Rivulidae. The transcript is spliced from 2 exons. The record is from RefSeq and is a predicted model, not a curated record.
UGGGCAGACAUGAAACAGAAAGCAAUCACGAAGUCUGUAAGAUGUGGGCCCGGCUGUCAUAGGCCGGGCAAGCAAAGUUAUACUGUCAGCUAUCAUCAUGUGAUAAUGUUUAACCAACCAGGAACCGCCUCGUUCUGGUACAUGAAGUAGGUCAACUUGAUGAUGACGUCCAGGGAUAUCACAAGAUAUGAACAAUUGGACAGUGUCAAGGUGAUACAUAAUCAGUAUUCCACAACAAUAUG